This 123-nucleotide ribosomal RNA is filed under the name Nosema bombycis. Lineage: Eukaryota; Fungi; Microsporidia; Nosematidae. The record is from RNAcentral.
AAAUACUCAGAUACGGCCAUAUCUACUGAAAACCACCGGAACCCAUCAGAACUCCGAAGUUAAACCAGUAUGAGCUUAAUCAGUACUAAGAAGGGAGACCACUUGGGAACGUUGGGUGCUGUA